Molecule: ribosomal RNA, 51 nt
Filed under: Bison bison bison
Lineage: Eukaryota; Metazoa; Chordata; Mammalia; Artiodactyla; Bovidae
Source: RNAcentral
CCAGCCUGAAGGCGCCCGAUCUCGUCUGAUCUCGGAACUAAGCAGGGUCGG